CAGGUGCAGAUCCACUAGCAACUGAGACAGGGAGAGACCAGUGUGGGCUGAGAGCUAUAAGAGAGAACUGUAUGGAAAGUGUGUAAUAAUGUGGAGUGCUGCUGCUUUCCAAAAGGGAAGGAUUCCUUAAAGUGUCACUCAGGCCGAACUUUUACCUCACACGGCAGCCGAUUUCUGCAGCAAAGGUCAGAUUUGUUAUCUAUCAAAAUAAGCCAGAAGAAGGGAAUAAUGAGCUGCUUCAAAGAACCGGCCUUUUUACCUUCUGAAUGGGAAUCUAAAUCAUGGCAGGGGAGCAUUGACUGAAAAUCAUUCUGCUCUGUCUACAGGAAAGGGCCAAACACCUUGCUUUCUUCAACCGGCUUCAGGAAAAACAGUUUUUGCUUAAUGCUUCUGUGGUUUUUUUUAUAUAUAAAGUUAGGCAGUAACAUGAAAUCAAUGUCAGAUGUGUGUCCAAGGGACUUGGGGCAGUAAAUAGAAAUCGUGGUUGUAUGACGUGACCUACAAUAUAAGAGGUGAGCAAGAUAUUUGUUAUUAGCACAUUCUGGUCGAUCACAUUAGUUAUUAAGGUGUGCUACACUAUUGAGUGGUGUAUUUAGGCUGUAAACUACUGAAUGAAUAAUAUGCCAAAUAGGGGAGAAGGUAUUGAUGAGGGGACUGGUGAAUUAAAGAAAAAUUUGGAGCAUAAUUCUUCUUUGAUCAGAACGCAACUCGCACCCGACCUUAACCCACACCCAAUUCCAUCACAAACCCAUCUGGGUCCCCACAGGGUUUAGGGUUAACCCGCACAUCACUACUGCAAACUAUUCAUUUAAUUGGAUCAUCUACAGACUGAAAAGUAGCUAUCAUUAAUACAGGAAUAGGACCUGUUAUCUAGAAACCUAUUAUACA
Long non-coding RNA from Xenopus laevis (African clawed frog), 888 nucleotides. RefSeq lists it as uncharacterized. The record is from RefSeq and is a predicted model, not a curated record. The transcript has 3 exons. NCBI's taxonomy places the organism in Eukaryota, Metazoa, Chordata, Amphibia, Anura, Pipidae.